This 3231-nucleotide long non-coding RNA is filed under the name Canis lupus familiaris (dog). RNAcentral's name for it is "lncRNA (ENSCAFG00000051806.1)". The record is from RNAcentral. Lineage: Eukaryota; Metazoa; Chordata; Mammalia; Carnivora; Canidae.
GGUAGGGACAUGGGCCUGUUUAAAUACAACUUAGGGUCUCUCAGGAGGUAGAGGGAAGAGCAACUGUGUAAUCCCAUCCUGGCUUUCAAAACUGAAACCUCCACCAAGGCCUCUCCUCCAGUCAGAUUAUGUUCUCUCACAAGCCUAAUCACUCAGUAAUUAGGGACCCUUUACCUGAGAUCCCCUCGGCUCUGCAAGUGUGGAGGCAGUCUAUGUGCUACUCUCUGGGCAGCAUGCAGCAGCCUCUGGGCUGUAACUGAUACUUGUGCCCAAGAAGUCUCCAAGUUGGUAUCAUCAGCCACUCAGGCUCCAAACAGCUGCAAGUCCUUGCUCACUUCAGUAAACACGUAUAAAAAACAAACAAACAAACAAAACAAAACAAAAAAACCUGAACCAAAAAAGUUGCUUAGAUUCCUUGCUAAAUAGGAUGGAGAAAUGCUCUGCUGCCUAUUACCAUAGCCCUUUGCAUCCUGAUGAGCUAAUGCAUGAAGCACUAUGACCACUGUGGAAAGUCUUCCACUGUUGCUUACUGACAGUAGUCGUACCAAAGACUCAAUAGGCACAGAAUAGAGAAAAUAUAAUCUGCCAUGAAAUUCCUUGUUCCAUAGCCAGUAUCAAUUCAAACUGGUUGUCAAAGGCUUUUAGAAUGUACUAGAUUAUCCCAUUUGAACUGAUCAUAUAAAUUCUGUCCUCAGGAAGCUUAGCUGACAUCCCUUGAUUCACAAAAAAUUUGAUUUCCUUAGUCUGAUAUCUGUGUGCUUCCUAUUCUGACAUCAACUGGCCUUUCCAGCUUUAGCUCCCCAGAGCCUGCAUCCCAGCCACACCAAAUUAUUCUUUACCCCUACAUACUUUCUCCUUCUUUUAUUCUUAUCUUUUAUUCUUAUCUGUCUCUUUCCCUCAACUUUUACAUUUUUGUUUGUUGAGUGCCUACCCUUGCUAGGUCUGAGGAAUACAAAAGGAGGAAAGCAGGGCGAGUCCCUAGCCUUGGAGCCUUAUAGUCUUAGUGAAUCCAUGAAUUAUGCAAACCUUCAUGGCAAAGUUUAAGGGCUAUGGAGGAAUGGAAAGGGGGUUCCAAGGGCCCACAUCAGGGGAUUGGUCUGGUCUGAGCAUUAGGAAAACUUCCUUAAAGAAAAUGAUUUUAUUUUUUUUUUAAAGAUUUCAUUUCUUUAUCUGAGGGGGCAGGGUGAGCAAGUGUGCACAAACAUGUGAACAGGGGAGAGGCAGAGGAAAAGAAUCCCAAGCAGACUCUUGCUGAGAGCGGAGCCCAACACAGGGCUCAAUCUCACAACCUCAGAAUCAUGUCCCGAGCUGAGCUCAAGAGUUCCCUGGUUGGCUUUCAAUAAAAGACCAACCCUACAAGCCCCCAGUGGCAACCCUGUCAGUAACCCCUCUCACUCCUGAGAGCUUUUUCUGUAUCCUUGCUUAAUAAACUUCUAUCACUUUAUUCAUUCUCCUUUGUCCACAAGAUUCAUUCUUCAACUCCAUAAGACAUCAGAGUUGUUUUUAUGAAGAAGCUUCUGGAAGGGAUCAGAUGAGAAGGGAAGGGAGUGCAAUUAAGAAAAGUGAGUUGUAGAGAGGGGAGAGGCUAGACCUCUGUCUUGCACAGUGGGAAGGACAGUGGUGUCAUCUAGUGGGGUCUGUGUGUCCUGGGAAAGUCUGGUGGCUCAUUUUGAAGAAAGCUCUCUGAAUGUUGUGCUUAAAGGGAUGUUUGGGCUGCAAUUGGAUGUGUGACAAUCGAGGCAGAGUGAUGGGAUUGGAACAGUGGAUGGGAAGGAGCUUGCCGAGCCAGAUAGAAGAGGAGGCCAAGAACUAACCUAAAGACUAGGGAGAAUAAAUAGAGCUGGCAAAGAGGGUCAAAAAAGAAAGAAUGAGGAUGUGGUGUCAAAAGAACAGGGAAGAGAGUACAAAGGACUAGCCCCAAAGGCCAAGUGAGCCUCACAAAGGGGAAAAGAAUGUCAAAAAGAAGACUAAAUUCGAAGUCCAGAAGGCAGAGCACAGGUGUCCCUGGAGCUAGAGCUUCAGGUGCAGGUGGGACUAGAAGGUGGCUGGGGGAGAGGUGGCUGAGGAGGCCUGGAGGCCAGUCGAGCUGGAUCAAGUGGGGACUCAGUAAGGAGUUUGGAUGCCAUUCUGAGCGACGGUAAAGGGUUGUUAAAGGUUUGAUUUUGUUUGCCUUAUUAUUUUUUUUUUAUUGUUAAAGAUUGUAUUUAUUUAUUUAAGAGAGAGGGUAAGUGAGAGAGAGAGAAUAUGAGAGCAUGAGCAGGGUUAGGGGCAGAGGGAGAGGGAGCGACUCUCCGCUGGGCGGGGAGCCCAACCCAUGGCCCCAUCCCAGGACCCUGGGAUCAUGACCUGAACUGAAGGCAGAUGCUUAACCAACUGAGCCACCCAGGCACCCAGUUUGUGUUCUUAAUUAGAAACAAAAUGCAUGCUCCUUGUAAAUAAAAUAAGAACCACUCUCCACCAAAACAAACUCUGUAGCACCAAAGAAAUGUAUAUAUUAACAACUCAAAGUUCCUUCUGCUAAAUCCCACUCCUCAGCCAGCACUUUGUUGUUAUCAUUCCAGACUUUCUGCCAUUCACAAACAUCCUUAGUUUUGUGAAAACAGGAUCAUGCUACAUAUAAUUUUUGCAACUUCCCUUACACAAUCAGCGGUAAUCUGGGGUUUCCUUCUGGGUGGAUACAAGCAGAUGUGCCCCACUGGUUCCAAUGGCUGCACAGUACUCCACAGCCUGGAUAUAUAUACCCUUGGUUACUACUGCUGUAUAACAAACUGCCACAAAAUUAGCAGGUUAAAUGAUACAAAGUUGUUACCUCACAGUUUCCGUGGGUCAGGAGUCUGGCACAGAGUGGCUGGUUCUCUGCUCAGGGUCUCCCCAGGGCUGUCCUCUCAUCUGAGACUUAGAGUCCUCUUCCAACCUCUUUCACAUUGUUGGCAGAAUUAACUUCCUUGCAGUUUCAGAACGAGUUUGUUUCCUUGCUGGCUGUCAGACAGGGUCACUCAAGAGCCUCAAAGCUUCCUUUCAUUCCUUACCAUGUAUUCCUUACCAUGUUGCAGUGGUUUAGCGCCUGCCUUUGGCUGAGGGCGCGAUCCUGGAGACCUGGGAUUGAAUCCCACAUCGGACUCCCAGUGCAUGGAGCCUGCUUCUCCCUCUGCCUAUGUCUCUGCCUCUCUCUCUCUCUGUGUGACUAUUAUAAAUAAAUAAAAAUUUAAAAAAAUAGAUAGAAAAAAAAAA